UACGGAGGGUGCAAGCGUUAUCCGGAUUCACUGGGUUUAAAGGGUGCGUAGGUGGGCAGGUAAGUCAGUGGUGAAAUCUUUGGGCUUAACCCAGAAACUGCCAUUGAUACUAUCUUUCUUGAAUACCGUGGAGGUCAGCGGAAUAUGUCAUGUAGCGGUGAAAUGCUUAGAUAUGACAUAGAACACCAAUUGCGAAGGCAGCUGGCUACACGAAUAUUGACACUGAUGCACGAAAGCGUGGGGAUCAAACAGG
Molecule: ribosomal RNA, 253 nt
Filed under: uncultured bacterium
Lineage: Bacteria
Description: partial 16S ribosomal RNA
Rfam family: Bacterial small subunit ribosomal RNA
Source: RNAcentral